UUGCCUACGGGGCGCAGCAGUGGGGAAUAUUGCACAAUGGGGGAAACCCUGAUGCAGCGACGCCGCGUGGGCGAGGAAGUACCUCGGUAUGUAAAGCCCUAUCAGCAGGGAAGAAACAGGACAGUACCUGACUAAGAAGCCCCGGCUAACUACGUGCCAGCAGCCGCGGUAAUACGUAGGGGGCAAGCGUUAUCCGGAUUUACUGGGUGUAAAGGGAGCGUAGACGGCAGCGCAAGUCUGAAGUGAAAUCCCAUGGCUUAACCAUGGAACUGCUUUGGAAACUGUGCAGCUGGAGUGCAGGAGAG
This 305-nucleotide ribosomal RNA is filed under the name uncultured bacterium. Its description in RNAcentral is "bacterial SSU rRNA". It matches the Rfam family "Bacterial small subunit ribosomal RNA", at positions 335 to 656 of the family's 1533-position model. The record is from RNAcentral.